RNAcentral lists this long non-coding RNA (6268 nucleotides) under Homo sapiens (human). Its description in RNAcentral is "HSALNT0181574". The record is from RNAcentral. Lineage: Eukaryota; Metazoa; Chordata; Mammalia; Primates; Hominidae.
UCCCCUGCUUUCUCUGUGAGCUUUUCUUAGUGAACCAGCUAUCAGAAUCUCCUGCCCAGGGGUCCUGCUGUCCGUUAUUAUAUCACCGCCCCUGCCAUCCUGCCUUUACAGCAGCCCUUGGAGAGGAAUCUUAAUGUGUGCUGAAGACAGCAGCAGGAGUAGGAGGGGGCAAGGAGAGACAAGAACUCGGGUUUCUGGGCAGGUGAAGGGGGCCUGCACUGUAUUGUCUUAAACUUCAGAGAGACAGUUUCAGGAACCUUGUAUUUAUUUAUUCCUUAUUUCCAGCAAAGGAAUGAAGCAUGCCGGGCCUCAUCUCGGACCUGCACACUGCCCCUCAUUAUGUUCAUGAUCGGGAAAUGGAUAAAGAGUGGCCAGAAGGUGAAAAAGAAGAGAUGGCCCCCUGAAAGGGACAUCCACAUUUAUUUGAGCACCUACCAGCAAAGUGCUGGGCACACAGAAGGACAACGUGAUGAAGCGCCAUCACAUGGCUGGUAGCCUGUGGUGAGUCACCGGACUUCUCGACUCCCACCUCACUAGGGUGGAAGGAACAGUAACCACAACGCUCUGCAACUCGGGCUGCGCCCGCAUGAUUGGAAACAAUCUGUGAAAUUGUGGAGUGAACAACCCCGAAGAAAUAGACUUCUAAUUCUAGCCUUUUGGAGAUUAUUAACCCAACUCCCAGAUUCUACAGAUGAGAAAAGGGAGGCCCAGGGAGGUGGAGAAACAUGUGUAGGAUCACAGAGAUGCCUUCAGCUCUCCAAAACAACAGAAAUGAUCAAAGAUGGAGGCAAGAAGACCAGAGAACCCUAAAUGUUUACUGUCUCCAGUGUGUUUGGAAACAGCUUGGACCAGUGUAGAGUGCUGGAACAGAGAGUCAAGAGCAUCAGGCGCGCCACCCAGAUAGCAUCUGAAAGAUUGUAAACAGGAUGAUUCACAAACUGGUGGCAGCAGCUAAAAGCAGUGCAGUUCGCGACCCUCAGCACACGCCAAGAUUCUAAAUGGGAUGUUGCGACAACAAAGCAGCCUGAAGAUUCUAAAACAUAAUGGUGUCACCAGGACAUUCACAGGGUGCUGUAACCUGUAACUGACAAGCAUACUCAUCAUCAUUUCUCCUUGGGCAUGCUGCAUCCUUGCGCUCCACUGGGCCUCCUGUUGCAUUGCUAUUUAUUUGCAUCUACAAGCAGGGGAGCAAGUAUGCUGCGGAAAUAGCCCCAGAGAGGUGUCUGAUUCCCAUAGGCCCUUGCAGCCAGCUACAACUGAAUGAUUUCCGAUAUCAGUUACUGAAAAUUCUGACCAUGAUAUGCAGACCAUGGCAGAUCUUAAUGACAAUAACAUCAUCUCACAUUUUGAUGGCGUUUAACAGUUUACAAAGUGCUUUCACAUACAUUAUCACAUUUAAUCCCAGUGAGGUCGAUAGUCUUCUUCUCCAUUUUAUUGGCAGCUUGGUGUAGUGGAAAGAGCUGUGGAAUCAGACAGACUUAAGUUCAGAUUCUGCCUCUGACUACCAAACCAUGGACAAUUUGCUUCAUUUCUCUCCCUUUUCUUACCUAUAGGAUGAGGAAUCAUUUCUAUUUCCGAGGUUUGUGGUGAAAAUUAAAUAACAUAUGUAAAGACAUACAAUAUAGGGCCCGAUGCAUAGAAGUACUCGAUAACCAUUAGUUUCUGUCCACUUACAGAGGAAGAAAAUGAAGCUUAAGAGGUUAAGGGAGUUGCUCAAAGUAAUAGCUAGUAAAUGGCAGAACUGAGACUUCAUUUAUUUUACAAAUAUUAUUGAACACCUACUAUAUGCUGGUGCCUUGGGCAUAGGAAAGUGGAUGAGUCAUAAUUCUAGUUUUUGAGAUGUUCACAGUAGAGCGGUGGAAUCUGAAAUGCAAAUAAUCAAUUAUAAUCGAGCGUAAUCUGAGAGGCAAAAAGUACUUAGGGAAUAUCCUAAAGCCAUGGGUGCACCCUAGAGUAUCUACACAAGAGAUAAGUCUGAGGAAGAGGAACCUUCCAGGAGGCAGCAGUAGAGUUACACCUGAAAUAAAAUGUUGGCAGGUGGAUGAGGGUGAGCAAGGAGAGGAGCAUUCAGGCGAAGACAACAGUGUGUGCAUUCAUCAGGAGGGUCAAAGGAGCCUGGCAUGUCCACUGCAGCACAGAAGAGAACCUGAGCAGACAGGAGAGAGAAGGGAGAGGAGGAGGCAAGGAAGCAGGAGUGAGAAGAAUGAAGGGGCUUGCAGGUAAUGCUGAGAAGCGUGCAUCUUUGUCAGUCCACACUGGCACAAACUCUGUGAUGAUUUACAGAGAGAGCCAACCUGGUCAGAUUUGCAUUUUUGAAAUUGUGGCAGCAAUGUGAAAGAUUGACUAGAGGAGGGGAUAAUGGAGGCAGUAGUUCAAUGAGAGAUAAUUAGGCUAUGAACUAAGAAAGUGGCAGAGCAGACAAUUUCAAGCGGUAUAGCAGAGGCAGAAUUGACAGGAUGUGGCCAUUAACUGGAUGUCAAGACAGGAGAGACAGAGAGAACUCUAGGAGGACUCCCAGGCUAUGAGCUUUGGUGGCUGGGCGAACGAAGAUGUCCCCCACUGACGUAGAAGGAGAGGACAUUUGAAGAGAUGAUAAUAAAUUCAUGUGGACAUGUUGACUCUGAGAGACUCAUGGAUAUCAAGAAGGAGGUGUUCAGUAGACAGCUAAAAAUAUGAGUCUGGAGUUUGGGAGAGGACUCACAAUUAGAUGCAUUGAUCUAGGGAUCAAUGGUUUUUAGACAAUGGUUGAAGCUGUUUUUUUAUGCCAAGAGGAUAGAGCAAGAAGAAAAGUGGGUCCUGGAGAACUCUAGGGAAUAUCAAUGUUUAGGUGCUAGAAUGAGGAUUGUUGGAGAGAUGGAACUACCAGGAGAAAGGGAGAGCUCAGAGGCCAGGGAAGGCAAGCAUUUUUUGAUGAUGAAAGUAGAGGAAAGUAUCAAAUUCCACCAAAGGAUCAAAGAAGAUGAGAACUGAGAUAUGCCUGGCAUUUGGGCAAUGAUAAGAUCACUUUGGCAACUUCAGUUUUAGACAAAGUGGUUAAAAAAGAGGCUUUUUUUUUUCUAUGACCCAAUAUAAGAAAAAUAUUUUAGGCCAGACAUGAUGGCUCACACCUGUAAUCCCAACACUUUGGGAGGCCUAGGCAGGUGGAUCACCUGAGGUCAGGAGUUUGAUACCAGCCUGGCCAAUGUGGUGAAACCCCGUUUCUACUAAUAAUACAAAAUUUAGCCAGGCAUGGUGGCAUGUGCCUGUAGUCCCAGCUACCCAGGAGCCUGAGGGAGGAGAAUCGCUUGAACCUGGGAGGCAGAGGCUGCAGUGAACUGAGAUUGCACCACUGCACUCCAGCCUAGGCAAUAGAGUGAGACUCCAUGAAAGAAAGAAAGAGAGAGAGAGAGAGAAAAGAAAAGAAAGGAAAGAAAAGAAAGGAGGGAGGGAAGGAGGGAGGGGAAAGAAGGAAGGAAGGAAGGAAGGAAGGAAGGAAGGAAGGAAGGAAGGAAGGAAGGAAGGAAAGAAAGAAAAAUAUAUUUUACAUUGUGACCUGAGAAAAACUUUCAAGAAACAAUACUUACACUCUGACAUGUCAUGACGUGUCACACGCCACCUGUUCUGUUCUAUUCUAUUCUAUUCUAUUCUAUUCUAUUCUAUUCUAUUCUAUUCUAUUCUAUUGCAUUCUAUUGCAUUCUGUUCCAUUCCAUCCCAUUCUAUUCAAAUGCUGCUUGGCCCUCACUAAAUUGAUUUUAUGACCAACUAGUGAGUUUCAACCUGCAGUUUGAAAAAACAGUAGUUUAGACAAAUACAGUUUUCUCACACAAAAAUUAUAUGGAGCAAAGUGUGGGAUAGAAGAAAGAACAUUGGAUUUUGAGUGAAGACACCUGAUUUUCAGCAUGACUCAUUUACUUACUGACUGUGUGACCUUAGAUGUGCCCAUUAACCUUUGUGUGUCUCUUCUAUUACCUGUAAAAUUCAGAUAAUAGAUCAGCUGCAAAGGGAUCUUCUGGGGAUCAAAUGAGAUAAAAUGCAUGAAUGCAAAAAGCAUAAGCCUAAAAUAGUCCUGGUCAAAGUAAAAUUACCAUAAUCAAAGAAAGAGCAGAAUGGUGCAUGGUGUAUCCCAGUUGGCUCUGGGUCUGUCAUCUGAAUCCUAGAGCCACAUCUCUCCAGAACAUACUGAGAACCAGAAAUGGGAUCAAAAUAAUUUAACCAAUCAAAACAGGUGUUGCUGCUAUAUUUAUAAAAUUCACAAAAUUUACUGACACAGAAGCCCGUGUGAAAUCCCAUCAGAAUCAUUGUAGUCUUGUUCUAAUACUAUUGUAGCCAUGUUGAUUUUCUGAUCUAUAUCUAUGGACCUGUAUCAGAAGGACAUUCAAUAAAAUCCUAUUGGAAGAGGAGCUGAUAGAGGCAAGUAUUUUCGCUACAGUGUGACAUGACAGCAAACAGACUGCAGGGAAACAGCAAGAUGAAAUCAUUUAAUAUAGGCAAUAUGUAAACUUCAGCAGACCCUGGUGAUAUCACUGUAUUAAGGUAUAAUACAAUAACUGAUUUUUAUGGUUCAUUCAACAAACUACUGUGUUUGAGUACUCAAUAUAUGUACUAAUCUAGGUGCAAGGAAGACACAGAUAAACUGGGGAUGUUUCCUAACCCUAAAAAGUGAGCACACAGAUGAGUGAGACAGACACAUACACAGAUAAUUUCCACUAACAUGGUACAGUGAAGAAAAAUAUGCAUCUGAGCAUGAUAUGAUAUUAAUAUGUCAUGAGAGAAAAGAAGAAGAGCAGCUAGCCCAAAGUGGAAGUGGAAUUCAGGUAAUGCUUCUUGAAGGUCAUUUGCCCAAGAUGAGUCUUGAUGAAGAUAAAGAAAGAUGGGGAAACAAUUCAGAAUGAUGGAAUAGCCUGAGAAAGGCAUGAAAGUAUGAAACCUUGCAUAGUGUAGAUAAUAUUUCUAGAUCAUAAAAAAGACAAGUACAGGCUAUACUUAAGAGGUAGGUAUGGUCCUCAAUACUGAGAGUCUUCUAUACCAGGUUAAGAUGUGUAGAGGACAUCACAUUGACCAGAGGAAGCCACUAAUAGGGAUUGAUUACUCUGGAAGCCUUAUGGAGGAGGAAUUUAAAAAUGGAUUAGGCACGUAAGUUAGGGAACAAUUGCAGUGGUUCAGGAGAGACAUAUUGAGGGUAUGAAGGAGAGAAGCAGUAAUAUGGAUGAAGAAGAGGGGUUAUAUUUGAAAAAUAUUUUUGAUACUAUAUUUAGAUGUGAAGGCUGAGGCCAGGUAAUAAAUGCUCCACUUCAGGGACAAAAACAUGACCUAGACUCCCCAAUAGUAUUCACUUUCUUGAGUUCAUGAUUGAGUCUAGAGAAAUUAAUACAUCUCUACAAGGCAUUAUAGUAUGAGGUAGAAGAUGCUAAGUGUUGAAAGAAAGGCACAGACAUAUGGUUAUGGGAGUUAGAGGAAAGAGGCAUAAAUUCCAACUGAGAGUUUUAGGGAAGUCUUCCUGGAAGAAGAGGCAUGCAAGGCAGAUCUUGAAAGAUGGUUAAGAUUUUGCCAUGAGUUGAUGAGAAGAAAGUGCAUUUCUGAUAAAGGAAUAAUCUGAGAAGACAUAGGAUGAAAGAUGGUGUCAUUUUGAGCUAAAAACACAGGCUCUGGAGUCACACAAAGUUGGGACCAAACUUUGGCUCUGUCACAUUCUAAUCACAAAAUUGGGGAUAAUUUAAUUGACACUUCAGAGCCUCGGCUCCUCAUUUGUACGACAGUUAUGACUAUCAUUUAUCUUAUGGGAUUAUUGUGAGGAUUUUUUCCUAUUAAACUUGAUUUAUUGAUUACAAUGAAAUUGACUUACCUCCGAGUUUUAUACUUUCAUGUGUUUUUGUAUCACUAAUUUUUUAUUCAGCUUGGAGCAUUCUCUUUAGCAUUUCUUGUAAGACAGGUCUAAUGGUGAUGAACUCCCACAGCUUUUGUUUGUCUGAAAAAGUCCUUAUCUCUCCUUCAUUUCUGAAUGACUACCUUGCCAGAUAUAGUAUUCUUUGUUGGCUGUUGUUGUUGUUGUUUACCUUUAGUACUUUUUUUUCCUUCUCCUCUUUUAGGGAAUUUAUUUUAAACCUAUUAUACUACACAAUAUGUUUUAAACACUGACAUAUAACUUCCUAAUAAGAUAGAGCUAAGAUAGAGCAAAGACAAAAAAAGUUUAUCUUAUUGGAAACAAGAUACAGCAUCAUUUAUAGUCAUUGUCAAACAUUACUGCACUUUAACUUUCAUAAUUUGACAAAGCAUUCAUGAAACAAUCUGC